AAAGCAUUAAUUUACAGAUGGCACUUCAUUCCUUGCGGUACACCUUUCAAAAGACCUCUUCAUCAAGUAGGUAAGAA
This is an unclassified non-coding RNA of Vulpes vulpes (red fox), 77 nucleotides long. The record is from Ensembl. NCBI's taxonomy places the organism in Eukaryota, Metazoa, Chordata, Mammalia, Carnivora, Canidae.